Astyanax mexicanus (Mexican tetra) is the source of this 881-nucleotide long non-coding RNA. RefSeq lists it as uncharacterized. NCBI's taxonomy places the organism in Eukaryota, Metazoa, Chordata, Actinopteri, Characiformes, Acestrorhamphidae. The transcript has 3 exons. The record is from RefSeq and is a predicted model, not a curated record.
AUAAAGGAUGCCAAUGAGUGUCUUAUCUACCAGCUACCAUGUUCAUUUAUAAUUACAGAUAUUAAUACACAAUCAAAAUGGCGAACAAAAAACAGAGUUCUAUAAAAAGAGUGUAACGAUGUAUAAUUUUCCAAAGAGCUUGGAAAAAUGCCCAGUACACUGAGAGUAUAGAAUGAGGAUGUUGUUACUGCCAGAUUGUUAUUUAUAUUUUUUCUUUCUCCUCUUCCCCGUUCGUGAUUGUUUACUUGACUCCGAAAGGCGAGUGAGUAAAACCGGAUGGGGAAGAGUCCGAUCUGCUUCAGACCAAUGAAAACACGACGUAGGAAGAGUUGGAUCAGAUCCAGCCCCACCCCCUGGACUUGUGGUUCUGCAGCGAGGUGUACUUGCCCUAGACCCCAAAACCAACCGUCGCGCACACCCCAAACGUGUGAUCACGUUUAGAGUGUAAAUGAAUCUAGAUGAUAUUUACCUUGGUGCCCCUGCGCAUCAGCCCAGUUCAACCCGUGCGGUUUCUCGUAGCACUUGGCGCGCGGAUUCCUCAAACAUUACAACUGUCAGCUAUCCUGAAACCUUUGAAGUUUGUAGGUGAAGUGUUGUCGCCGCUGCCAACUAAAUGACCCCAUGAAGACGGGGACACCAGUGUUACAUUCUAUUAAGGUGAAGGCUGCAUGGGAGGUGAUUGGCCUGGAUUUAAUUGGCCCACUGCGAGAAACUGGUCAAAAAAACAAGUAUGUGUUGACCAUGACUGAUUUAUAUACAAAGUGGGUUGUUGCUGAGCCACUGCAAAAUAAGACUGCAACUGAAGUGUCAGCAGCCAUCAUAAAGACACUCUACUUGUUCGGCAUGGUCAAGAAAAUUAUUACUGACCAAGGGAGAGAGUU